GCAGGGUUUAUUUUUCUAUCAAAUCCCCAAUCCAUGUUCCAGCCAAUGGAUGAAGGGUGAAUCAAGCCCCACAUAGACUCUUGGUAAAAACAAUUCUAACUUUCUAAAAAAAAAAAAAGCCAACACACUUUUUUCUUUCUUUUCAAAAAGCUCCCAGGCCUUUGGGAACAGCUGAAACAAAUUCAUAUCCUGACUAGGUCUGUUUUCUCUUAGGUAUUUGGAUGGUCCCUCUCUGCUGCCACUUCUGCACAGAUGAGGCACUGAUAAUGGCCUGCAGGUCACUCACAAUCCUAGCUCCACAUCACUCCAUGGUUUGAUAACCUAGAACCACGUUAUGAUUUCCAUUUAUAAUAAAUGGUACCAUAGGGAGGUG
Molecule: long non-coding RNA, 373 nt
Filed under: Homo sapiens (human)
Lineage: Eukaryota; Metazoa; Chordata; Mammalia; Primates; Hominidae
Description: HSALNT0188512
Source: RNAcentral